Molecule: ribosomal RNA, 464 nt
Filed under: uncultured bacterium
Lineage: Bacteria
Description: partial 16S ribosomal RNA
Rfam family: Bacterial small subunit ribosomal RNA
Source: RNAcentral
ACGAACGCUGGCGGCGUGCUUAACACAUGCAAGUCGAACGGAAAGGCCCUGCUUGCAGGGUACUCGAGUGGCGAACGGGUGAGUAACACGUGGGUGAUCUGCCCUGCACUUCGGGAUAAGCCUGGGAAACUGGGUCUAAUACCGGAUAUGACCUUCCAUGUAGUGUGGGGGGUGGAAAGAUUUAUCGGUGUGGGAUGAGCUCGCGGCCUAUCAGCUUGUUGGUGGGGUAAUGGCCUACCAAGGCGUCGACGGGUAGCCGGCCUGAGAGGGUGGACGGCCACAUUGGGACUGAGAUACGGCCCAGACUCCUACGGGAGGCAGCAGUGGGGAAUAUUGCACAAUGGGCGGAAGCCUGAUGCAGCGACGCCGCGUGGGGGAUGACGGCCUUCGGGUUGUAAACCUCUUUCGACAGGGACGAAGCUUCGGUGACGGUACCUGUAUAAGAAGCACCGGCUAACUACGUG